UGGGGGAUCGUAUAAUGGCAGUACACAUGGUUUUGGUCCAUGGAGUUGGGGUUCGACUCCCUGUCCCCCAGCUA
This 74-nucleotide transfer RNA is filed under the name Fidelibacterota bacterium. RNAcentral's name for it is "Candidatus Marinimicrobia bacterium tRNA-Gln". It matches the Rfam family "tRNA". From Rfam's summary of the family: Transfer RNA (tRNA) molecules are approximately 80 nucleotides in length. Lineage: Bacteria; Pseudomonadati; Fidelibacterota. The record is from RNAcentral.